GGUUAAGCGACUAAGCGUACACGGUGGAUGCCCUGGCAGUCAGAGGCGAUGAAGGACGUGCUAAUCUGCGAAAAGCGUCGGUAAGGUGAUAUGAACCGUUAUAAC
Molecule: ribosomal RNA, 105 nt
Filed under: Klebsiella oxytoca
Lineage: Bacteria; Pseudomonadati; Pseudomonadota; Gammaproteobacteria; Enterobacterales; Enterobacteriaceae
Also listed under: 4 other names
Description: partial 23S ribosomal RNA
Rfam family: Bacterial large subunit ribosomal RNA
Source: RNAcentral